AGUCACCAGGCUGCUAAGUCAUCAGGCUGCUGAGUCACCGAGGCUGCUGAGUCAUGCGAAGCCACGUGCCCUCUUCUGAUUCGACCGAGGAGGAGGCCCAAUCCGAAGCAGCCAGCUCCCCAGCCGAAGCUUCGCCCAACUGCUGCGUGUGUCCGAGCCUCGCUUAACCUAACUCUGAGCCUCGCAGGUGCGCCAGUAAGUCGCGGUCCACUUAGAAGCCGCCAGCGAGCCCUCACAGGUGCGAGCCAUGUGCGAGCCAUGUGCGAGCCUUCGCCUGCGAGCCUUCUCAGCCGUUGGAUCAGAAGCUUCUCAGCCGUCCGAUCAGAAGUUUCCCCCUAUAAAUAGAAGGCUGCGAGCCUUCUCGGAUAUUUUUAAGAAAUUGCCACUUUUAACCCCUAAACCCAUAUUUCCUUCAUCUUAACAUCCCGCAAAACCCCGGUAUCGAUUGUAAAGCCCGGAAUACCCCACGAAGUGCCCGCGAAGCCUGAAAAAUUUAUCUUUUCGGUUUCAAAGCCCGACUUUUGCAGAGCCCGGUUUCUCAAUAAAACUCCCGGUUUUAUUAGAAACAAUCGUUUUAGGAAACGAAUUGCUGCCCGAUUUUCACCAAAAUAUGUGAGUGUGUAGUUACUUUCAAUUUACACAUAGCUAUGAAGUAUUUACAUUGAAAUACGUGUUAUGUUUAAAUAUGCUAAUUGUUUAUUCGAGGUGACUGUUGAAUUGAUGUUUUAUACAAGUUUUAAAUUGUAUAUGCUUUUUAUCUACAAAAUGUGUUGGGUAGAACAUGGGUAGAUAUAAUAGUUGUUGUGUGAUAAAAUGAAAUAAUGAGAGGCCUCGUUAUAGAUGUUAUUGAUGAUCUAGUCAUCUAGCGGAGUAUAGAUGACGACCACGGACUAUUCUAGACAGUCCAGUGGAACACUAGCAGGCUAGCAACCUGUAGGUGUUUAUUCGAACUGUGUGUUUAUUUGAACUGUGUGCUCACCAGAUGUACUCCAUCCCCCACAUGGUUGCCUUUAGGACAUUUAUUGCUGAGGAAUCCCCUUAGCAGUAGUGUCCAUCCCGAUGAUAAUCCUUAGGCUAGGUCCCUUGUGAUAGGUGUUUAGGGACGUAAAGUGAGGACAACGGGAAUGGGUAAUCAGGGUUAUUGUUGAUUGGUGAACUUAAUAAGUAUAUUAUUAUUGUGGGUUGAAAAACCCUAUAUGCUCACCAGGCUCCCAAGCCUGACCCACUCAGUUUUAUGAUUACAGGUAGUGGACCCCGAGCAUAGUCGGAGGAUGACGAGAGAUUUUUGGAUUAUAGGCCAGUAGUUGUAAAUAACUGUUGAAAGGCUUAUAAUGUCUUGUUUAUGCUUUUGAUCUGUAUCGGAACAUGACAUCCCGAGGUUUUGAUAUAUAUGGAAAAUAUAUACCUUCUUAAUGAAGGAUUUUGAUAAACUUUUAUCAUAUGUUGUUUGGGGACCAAUUCCGCAACAUCUUUUAAAAAGAUUUCUCUGAUUUUAUUUUAAAAAGCAUAAAUUAAAUCGGUCUUUUCUGGCCGAGAAAUUAGGGGAUGUCACACUUGGUAUCAGAGCAUUAGUUUAAGCGAACUAAGAAAUUGUAGAAUUUCUAGACUUGAACUUAGAAUGCUAAGUGAUGAUUGUGAGAUGAGUGUCUACCAUAUUUUAGACACGAGCACUAGUUUAUUUUAGGGAAGAUGCCUAAAAUGCCCUUAUGUGCUAAAUGCUAUGUGUUUGCCAUGUGUGCCAUUAUUUGUUCGGAUCUAUGGUCUGUUGCCGACCGGAUCUGGAAACCUUAUGUGUGUAGGAUUCUAAGCGUAUGAAUACGAGAUUAGAACUAACAUGUAAACGUUUCGGAGUGAUAAGGGAAUUGACAUGUCUAACAAGGAUAAAGACCUAAAUUCGCCUUAUUCGGUAUAUAGAUUGUAAUGGCAAGAACUCGGAGUGGAGCUGGAAAUGCAAACAGAAACCAACAACCUCAACCUCCAGUGGUGGAACAGGUGCCUAUAGUAGGAGCUGCACCCGAACCCAUCACCAUGGCUGGAGUACGAACUAUGAUUCAGGCCAUGUUGGCUGAACAGAGGGAGGAAUUGAGGCAAAUGUUGCUGAACGACAGGGAUGAACCUUCAGUUCCUGUUGAACAACGUGAACUAAAUGACGAUCGAUCUGAAGAAGGGAACAACAGUAGAUCGGUUGGUCAUAGUGAACCGCUUGUGGUUGGGAGGAAUAACCACGAGGGUAGAAUGGAGAGAAAUGGGUGCAAGUAUAAGGACUUUAUGACUUGCAAGCCAUCGACCUUCAAUGGAAAAGAAGAUCUUGUCGGAGUAAUGGAUUGGAUCUCGGAAAUGGAGUUGGCUUUCAUGACUUGUGAUUGCCAAAGCAAGUUACAAACUACGUUUGCAGUACGUCAGUUCAGGGGUAGUGCAGCUCGUUGGUGGAGCACUUUGGGGAAAACCCUAAGCCCUAAUGAGCCACUGCAAUUAACUUGGGCAGAGUUCUUGGUGCACUUCAAGCGCAAGUACUGCUCGGCCCAAAACGUACUUGAGUUAGAAAACCAAUUUCUAACGUUGCAGAAGGGGAGUAUGACCGUUGACGAAUAUACGAAUAACUUCACAGACAAAAUGGAGUUUGCUUUGCGUAUUGUCCCAGAUGAGUUGGCAAAAAUAGACAGGUACGCAAAGGGACUUCCAUGGGAGUACGCGGUGCUAGUACGUCAAACACUUACUUUGGAGGCAGCUAUCUGGGCUGCCAAGUCUGUGGAGGACAUGAUUAAGGGAAGAGCUGCCAGCAAAGUCGAGGUUGGCGAGAAGAGGAAAUUUGAAGGGUCUGCUAAACCCAACAAAAAGAGCAAGUUCGGUUCAAAGGAGUUCAGGGGAGGAAAUGAAUUUAAAUGGUGCGAGAAGUGCAAGAAGAAGCACUCGGGAAAAUGUGGCGAGGAAGUAACCUGCUACAAGUGUGAGAAACGGGGCACUAUGCCAAUGAGUGCACCACCAACAAGAGGGUGUGCUACGAGUGCCGUGAAGAAGGGCAUAUUGCUAAGGAUUGCCCAAAGCAGAAAGAUGUGGGAAGGUCCAACAUACCACUAAAGCCGAAGGCGAGAGCCUUCCAAAUGACGUUCGAGGCUGCGAAGGAGGCAGCAGACGUCGCUUCAGGUACCUUUCUUGUAAAUGGUUUGCCUGCAAAUAUACUAUUUGAUUCCGGAGCCAAUUACUCCUUUGUGUCGCAUAAAUUUGGUGGAAGAUUAGCAUUGCCUGUAGAAAAACUAGAUAAUGCUCUGAUUGUAGAAGUUGCCAGUGGCAAACUCGUACCUGUUAGUAAUCGUAUUAGGAACAUCGUCAUUGACCUAAACGGAAACGAAUUCCAUGAGGAACUAUUACCCAUAGAGUUAAACGGUUUCGACAUCGUUUUGGGUAUGGAUUGGCUUAGCGCCAACGAUGCCGAGAUAUUAUGCCAAAAGAAGAUAGUUAGGAUAAACCCACCCGGAAAGGAAUCAUUUAUGGUGUACGGGGACAAACGCAGAGUAACUUCUGGAAUCAUCUCCCUGAUGAAAGCCAGGAAAUGUUUGUCCAAAGGAUGUGCAUCAUACUUGGCAUUCGUAAUCGAUGCUAAGAAAGAAAAGAAAGAGGUGCAGAAUAUACCGGUUGUGUGCGAUUAUCCGGAAGUCUUUCCCGAAGAUCUUCCCGGAUUACCACCUGAUAGACAAGUGGAGUUUCGUAUAGACUUGUUACCAGGAACAACACCGAUAGCAAAGCCACCUUACCGAUUAGCACCGACGGAGAUGAAGGAGCUCAUGACACAACUUCAGGAGUUGUUGGACAGCGGAUUCAUUCGACCUAGUUCAUCACCCUGGGGAGCUCCGGUGUUAUUCGUGAAGAAGAAGGACGGAAGCAUGAGGAUGUGCAUAGACUACCGAGAGCUGAAUAAGGCAACGGUGAAGAACAAGUAUCCAUUGCCGAGGAUUGAUGACCUAUUCGAUCAGCUGCAAGGUUCGAGCUACUUCUCAAAGAUCGAUCUUAGGUCAGGAUAUCAUCAGCUGAAGGUGAGAGAGCAGGAUAUUGAGAAGACUGCAUUCAGAACAAGAUAUGGACACUACGAGUUCUUGGUUAUGUCAUUCGGACUAACCAAUGCUCCCGCAGCAUUCAUGGAUUUGAUGAAUAGGGUCUGUAAACCAUUCCUCGAUAAAUCUGUGAUAGUGUUCAUCGACGACAUUCUUAUUUACUCGAAAAGCCAGGAGGAGCAUGGCAAGCAUCUACGAGAAGUGUUGGAGGUGUUAAAGAAGGAGAAGCUUUUUGCGAAGUUCUCCAAAUGCGACUUCUGGAUACGGGAAGUCCAAUUCUUGGGUCAUGUUGUUAACCAAGAAGGAAUAAUGGUUGACCCCGCCAAGAUCGAGGCUGUAAUGAAGUGGGAACGUCCGAAGAGUCCCACGGAGGUUCGAAGCUUUCUAGGAUUAGCCGGAUAUUACCGACGAUUUAUCCAAGGCUUUUCUUCGAUAGCUGCUCCAUUAACAGCUUUGACCCAUAAAGGAGCUACGUAUACAUGGAGUGAGAAACACGAUGAGGCGUUCGAGAAGCUAAAGAAGAAGUUAUGUGAAGCACCGAUACUUUCUCUACCCGAUGGAGUUGAAGAUUUCGCGGUUUAUAGUGAUGCAUCUGGAGUCGGGUUGGGUUGUGUUCUGACCCAAAGAGAAAAGGUGAUAGCAUACGCAUCUCGACAAUUGAAAGAGCACGAAAAGAACUACCCCACUCAUGAUCUGGAGUUGGCAGCGGUAGUAUUUGCCUUAAAGAUAUGGAGGCAUUACCUCUACGGCACGAAGUGUAAGCUCUUCACUGAUCAUAAGAGUCUCCAGUAUCUCUUUAAUCAGAAGGAGUUGAACAUGAGGCAACGACGCUGGCUAGAGCUUCUCAAGGACUACGACUGUGAGAUACUUUACCACCCAGGUAAAGCAAAUAUUGUUGCUGAUGCUCUCAGUCGGAAAGUCAAUCUUGAAAGAAAAAGGCCAAGAGCGUUAAGAAUUGAAGUCGUCUCGACGAUUGUGGAAAGUAUCAGGAAAGCUCAAGAAGAAGCCUUAGAAAAGAAUGACCGAAAGGAAGAACGUUUGGGAAAAACGUUAGUGUUCGGUACAAACAGUCGAGGACUGAAGGUAUUCCAAGAUCGAAUCUGGGUACCUAAGAUGGGAGGAAUAAGAGAUCUUCUAAUGGAAGAAGCACACAAGACCAUGUACUCGAUUCAUCCCGGUAGCACUAAAAUGUAUAGGGACCUAAAACCCUACUACUGGUGGCCGACGAUGAAGCUCGAUGUUGCGAAGUAUGUGGCCGAGUGCGUAACAUGUGCGAGGGUUAAGGCACAACAUCAGAAACCGUAUGGGAGUUUAGAACCUUUACCUGUACCCAUGGGUAAAUGGGAAGACAUCACCAUGGAUUUUGUGACUAAACUGCCCAGAACAAGGAACGGUCACGACAUGAUUUGGGUGGUCGUUGAUCGCUUCACUAAGAGUGCGCAUUUCAUAGCGGCCAAAGAGAAAUGGUCUAUGGAUAAACUUGCGAAUUCUUACGUGAAGGAAAUUGUGAGGCUUCACGGUGUUCCGUUAACGAUUGUGUCCGAUCGUGAUAGCCGUUUUACCUCAAGGUUUUGGAGGAGUCUACAAGAGGAAUUGGGUACCAAGUUGUGUUUGAGUACAGCUUACCAUCCGCAAACCGAUGGUCAGAGCGAGCGAACGAUUCAAACAUUGGAGGAUAUGCUGAGAGCAUGUACCCUAGAAUUCCAAGGUAACUGGGAUGAACACUUACCUUUAGUAGAAUUCUCCUAUAAUAAUAGUUUCCACUCAAGCAUUAAGAUGGCACCUUAUCACGCUUUGUAUGGGGAGAAGUGUCGAACGCCAUCAUGUUGGCUGGAAGCUGGGGAAAAGCAGUUUAUGGGACCUGAAAUAGUCCAUGAGACUGCUGAAAAGUUGAAAGUGAUAAGGGAAAGGAUGUUAGCUGCUCAAGAUCGACAAAAGAGUUAUGCUGACAAGAAAAGACAACCGAUAUCCUUCGAUGUUGGAGAUUCGGUUUUACUUAAAGUCUCGCCGUGGAAGGGACUUAUAAGAUUUGGUAAGAGAGGGAAGUUGAGUCCAAGGUUUAUUGGACCAUUUAAAGUUCUUCAGAGAAUCGGGAGUCAAGCGUACAAGCUAGAGUUACCGGAAGAACUAGAGGGUAUUCAUAACACCUUUCAUGUGUGUUACUUGAGAAAGUUCACAGGAGAUGUGCCCGACAUAAUUCCGAUUUUUGAGUUAAGGUUGGAUGAAAAAAAGAUAUUGAUCGAAGAACCUGAGGCAAUCGUUGACCGUAAGAUUAUGAAGUUACGAUGCAAGAUGGUCGAUUUAGUGCUUGUGCGCUGGAAACAUACGAAUGGACCAAAUCUCACUUGGGAAACGGAGAGUGACAUGAUGAGUCGCUACCCGCAGUUGUUUGGUGAUAUGUGAUUCCGGGGACGGAAUCAUCCUAAGGGGGAGAGAAUUGUAACACUCGUGUUUCUAGCCUAGGCAUUUAUAUUGAGUUGAUAGUCUAGGUUAACCUUUGUAACUCAUUUUGAAGAAAUGAAAAGGAAUUAUGUGAAUAUUAUGUGAAUUAUGUGUUUUAUGCUUAAUUAUUAGGGCUUAAUUAAUUAAGAAUAAAAAUAAGCGUCAAAAUUAAAGUGUGAGAUAAGCCCGAUAUCUUUACAUAAAGUUGCAGUGGUCGAAACAAGGAUUUCAGGGAUAUAAAGAAUACCAAAAUCCGAGUUAUAACGAAGAAGUUAUGACCUGUCGAAGUUUCGCGACAAAACCGACACGGUGCUGAAUGUCGUAAAAAGUGAGUUUUUGAUAAACUACUUUUUAGCCUUAGUAAUCUAAACGAAAGUCGUAGUAUUCGUUAAACCGAGAAGUUCGAUAAAAAGAACGCCCAAAUCUGACUUCGUAUGAGGAAGUUAUGAUUUUUCGAAGUUUCAGCGUAGCAGUAGACAGCUAAAAACUCGAAUUUUAGAUCGAGCGAUUUUUAGCCGACACAACCUAAACGAGAAUUGAAGGUCUCGUCAUUAGGAGCACAACGGUAAAAAGUCUGACGAAAACGGACGUCGGAUGAAGAAGUUAUGAAUUUUUAACGGAUUUCCUGUCCCGGUCUGUUAAAAAUAAUAAUAUAAAAUUUAAAGUCAAAAUUAGCCGACGAAGUCUAAACGGAAGUUGUAGAUCGUAAUUUUAGCUACGCGUGCAUAUAAAGAACGUCAAAAACGGAGCUCGUAUGCGAAAGUUAUGGAUUUUAGAAGUUUUGGCGCGAAAACCGAGAAAUUUCGCAUAGUCACACUUUGCCACGUCACCCUCGCCUCGCAUGUGACACGUGUCCUGCUGAGUCACCGAAGCUGCUGAGUCACCAAGCUGCUGAGUCACGAAGCCACCUGGCGAGGCGUGUCAUGUCCUUCCGAGUCCGAGCUGCGGUCCAAUCCGCUGACUACACGUAGAAGCCUCGGUGGCAAGCCUCGCAUCCGACGCGUGUGUAGUGACUCAUGAGUCCGAACCCUCGCAGGCGCCACGAACCCCCUACUUCGGACCCUAGACCUCGGUCCAAUCACAAGCCGCCAGAGAGCCCUUCGCACGCGCAGCCCUCAUGCGAGCCUCCCCCUCUGCGAGCCUUCUCAGCCGUCGGAUCAGAAGCCUCCUGGCCGUCCGAUCAGAAGCUUCCCCCUAUAAAUAGGAGGGUGCGAGACCUCCCGGGUAUUUUUGGAAUUUUGCCAUAUUUAGCCCCUAAACCCAUAUUUUCUUCAUAUUAACAUCCCGCAAAGCCCCGGUAUCGAUUGUAAAGCCCGGAAUACCCCACGAAGUGCCCGAGAAGCCCGGAAAAUUUAUCUUUUCGGUUUCGAAGCCCGACUUUUACAAAGCCCGGUUUCUCAAUAAAACUCCCGGUUUUAUUAGAAACGAUCGUUUUAGGAAACGAAUUGCUGCCCGAUUAUCAUCAAAUCAUGUGAGUGUAUAGUCACUUUCAUUUUACACAUAGAUAUGAAGUAUUUACCUUAUAAUACGUGCUAUGUGUAAAUAUAUUAAUUAUUUAUUUGAGGUGAUUGUUGUGUUGAUGUUUUAUACAAGUUUUAAACUGUAUAAGUAUUUUUAUCUACAAAUAUGUUGGGUAGAACAUGGGUAGAUUGUGAUGUGUGAUAAAAUAAAAUUGAUGAGAGGCCUCGAUGUGUUUUGAGAUCCAGUCAUCUAGCGGAGUUUGGAUGACGACCACGGACUUUCUAGACAGUCCAGUGGGAAACAUUAGCAGGUCCGCAACCUGUAGGUGUUAAUGAACUAAGAGUGUUCAUUCGCUGUACUCCAUCCCCCUCAUGGUUGCCUUUAGGACAUGUAUGGCUGAGGAAACCCCUUAGCAGUAGUGUCCAUCCCGAUGAUAAUCCUUAGGCUAGGUCCCUUGUGAUAGGUGUUUAGGGACGUAAAGUGAGGACAACGGGAAUGGGUAAUCAGGGUUAUUGUUGAUUGGUGAACUUAAUAAGUAUAUUAUUAUUGUGGGUUGAAAAACCCUAU
This 8519-nucleotide long non-coding RNA is filed under the name Lactuca sativa (garden lettuce). RNAcentral's name for it is "long non-coding RNA (LSAT_LNC005894)". The record is from RNAcentral. Lineage: Eukaryota; Viridiplantae; Streptophyta; Magnoliopsida; Asterales; Asteraceae.